AAAAUAUUUAUUAAAUGAAAUAUUUCUAUUUUGUGAACUUUCUUUUUUUAAUGAAAUCAUAUUAUAUAUACAUAUAUUUUCGUUUUAAAAUUUGUUUUUAAAACUUUAUAAAUGUUUCCUUUUUAUUAUAUAUGUUAUUUAGAAAAUUUUAAAAAGGAAACUAAAUAAAAAAUUCAAUAAUAGUAUUAAAUGUAAUAUUUUUUUAAUUUAUUAAAGAUAUCAGUGUAAUCAAUUAUCAUGAAAAUUAACAUGAACGCGACACAUAAGAAACUGACUUCUCAAAUAAUAUAUAUAUAUUUUUUUGAACACAAACUUCUCAGAUAAUAUUAUAGAGAUAAUUUGAUCAACCAACUCAUAGAACAUGUUUGGGAAUUAUUAUUGUUUGCCUUUUUAUGGGUAUUGUAGGGACCAACAUUAAUCACUUUUCCUUUGAUGCAAUUAUAAUUAAUUAGUUUGUCUUGAUGCCGUUGUCAC
RNAcentral lists this long non-coding RNA (474 nucleotides) under Brassica napus (rape). RNAcentral's name for it is "long non-coding RNA (BNAP_LNC020525)". Lineage: Eukaryota; Viridiplantae; Streptophyta; Magnoliopsida; Brassicales; Brassicaceae. The record is from RNAcentral.